This 468-nucleotide ribosomal RNA is filed under the name uncultured bacterium. RNAcentral's name for it is "partial 16S ribosomal RNA". It matches the Rfam family "Bacterial small subunit ribosomal RNA", at positions 28 to 507 of the family's 1533-position model. The record is from RNAcentral.
GACGAACGCUGGCGGCGUGCUUAACACAUGCAAGUCGAACGGAAAGGCCCUGCUUUUGUGGGGUGCUCGAGUGGCGAACGGGUGAGUAACACGUGAGUAACCUGCCCUUGACUUUGGGAUAACUUCAGGAAACUGGGGCUAAUACCGGAUAGGAGCUCCUGCUGCAUGGUGGGGGUUGGAAAGUUUCGGCGGUUGGGGAUGGACUCGCGGCUUAUCAGCUUGUUGGUGGGGUAGUGGCUUACCAAGGCUUUGACGGGUAGCCGGCCUGAGAGGGUGACCGGCCACAUUGGGACUGAGAUACGGCCCAGACUCCUACGGGAGGCAGCAGUGGGGAAUAUUGCACAAUGGGCGGAAGCCUGCUGCAGCAACGCCGCGUGCGGGAUAACGGCCUUCGGGUUGUAAACCGCUUUCGCCUGUGACGAAGCGUGAGUGACGGUAAUGGGUAAAGAAGCACCGGCUAAAUACGUG